RNAcentral lists this ribosomal RNA (374 nucleotides) under uncultured organism. RNAcentral describes it as "partial 16S ribosomal RNA". It matches the Rfam family "Bacterial small subunit ribosomal RNA", at positions 527 to 896 of the family's 1533-position model. The record is from RNAcentral.
GUAGGUGGCAAGCGUUGUCCGGAAUUAUUGGGGCGUAAAGCGCGCGCAGGCGGUUCUUUAAGUCUGAUGUGAAAGCCCACGGGCUCAACCGUGGAGGGUCAUUGGAAACUGGAGAACUUGAGUACAGAAGAGGAGAGCGGAAUUCCACGUGUAGCGGUGAAAUGCGUAGAGAUGUGGAGGAACACCAGUGGCGAAGGCGGCUUUCUGGUCUGUAACUGACGCUGAGGCGCGAAAGCGUGGGGAGCAAACAGGAUUAGAUACCCUGGUAGUCCACGCCGUAAACGAUGAGUGCUAAGUGUUAGGGGGUUUCCGCCCCUUAGUGCUGCAGCUAACGCAUUAAGCACUCCGCCUGGGGAGUACGGCCGCAAAGGCUG